UACGGGGGGAGCAAACGUUGUUCGGAAUUACUGGGCGUAAAGGGCGCGUAGGCGGCCGCCUAAGCCAGACGUGAAAUCCCUCGGCUCAACCGGGGAACUGCGUCUGAUACUGGGUGGCUUGAAUCCGGGAGAGGGAUGCGGAAUUCCAGGUGUAGCGGUGAAAUGCGUAGAUAUCUGGAGGAACACCGGUGGCGAAGGCGGCAUCCUGGACCGGUAUUGACGCUGAGGCGCGAAAGCCAGGGGAGCAAACGGG
Molecule: ribosomal RNA, 253 nt
Filed under: uncultured bacterium
Lineage: Bacteria
Description: partial 16S ribosomal RNA
Rfam family: Bacterial small subunit ribosomal RNA
Source: RNAcentral